Molecule: ribosomal RNA, 442 nt
Filed under: Peralia vittata
Lineage: Eukaryota; Metazoa; Arthropoda; Insecta; Diptera; Therevidae
Description: partial 16S ribosomal RNA
Rfam family: Bacterial large subunit ribosomal RNA
Source: RNAcentral
AAAUGGCCGCAGUAUUUUAACUGUGCAAAGGUAGCAUAAUCAUUAGUCUUUUAAUUGAAGGCUUGUAUGAAUGGUUGGACGAAAUAUUAACUGUUUCAUAAAAAUUGAGUUAGAAUUUUAUUUUUUAGUUAAAAAGCUAAAAUGUUUUUAAAAGACGAGAAGACCCUAUAGAUCUUUAUAAUUUAUGUAUUAUGGUUAUUUAGAUGAUUUAAACUAUGAUUAUUUAAAUUAUUUUGUUGGGGUGACAUUAAAAUUUAAUUAACUUUUAAUUAUUUUUUACAUUUAUUUAUGGUUAUUUGAUCCAUUAUUAGUGAUUAAAAAAUUAAGUUACCUUAGGGAUAACAGCGUAAUCUUUUUGAAGAGUUCAUAUCGAUAAAAAGGAUUGCGACCUCGAUGUUGGAUUAAGAUAUAAUUUUGGGUGCAGCAAUUCAAUUAUUAAGUC